AUUGCGAUUACUUGUGUCCAGUCUCUUUGGCCGAGUUAUGUAUAGCCGAACGAGAACUCGAUUUUGCAUGUACGUACGAAUGAUCAGUUAUGACGUAUUUUGACGUCACAGAAAUUUUAGAAAAUAACAUACUCCAGAUCGCGAUUUGACUUUCCGAAUACCCUGGUUGAGACUCACGAACACCACCAUGAACGAUUACAAUUUGUAAACGUAACAUGUGCCUCGUUGCCUGUUGUAAAUUUAUGUCUGGCUGUUUAUCGAAAUAUUUUGCUUGCGUCUGGCUGUUUUAGGUAAGAUGAAAGUUUAAUCACAAAUAACAAUUAAUGUGUUUUGGUCGAAUUAUUUUACCCAUUGAAACGAACAAAUUAACUGUAUUUUUAUCAAAUUUUAAUUUAGCUGCCAUACAAAUAUACAACUCUUCAUAUAAACAAGUGGAGUAAAAAAUCUGUUUUGAGCUUGAUAGAACAUCGUACUUCAAGGUAUAAAUAAUCACAGUGAUAGUUUAUUAUAAUAUUGUUAUUAUGAGAAUAUCAAUUGAGCAGUAUCGUACAGUGUCGCAUUGGAACACAUAAUUCUAUACGAAUGAAAAAGUAUCUGACUUGUUACCACUUGUACUGUUGUACAAAAUGUACAAAGACAUUCCUAUAGCAACCCGGUGUGGAUUGUUGUCUGCACAUAUUUACCAACUUAUCUGCAGUUUAUGUAAUAUCAUGUCAACUGACCUUUUAGAUGGUCUGUACAAAUAUAUCUCUAAGAUGUAUGUCCAUUGCUACUUGUUAGCAUAAUAUAUUCACCUGGCUGUCACUACAGUUCAGGGUAUACUAUAUUUUUUAUAAUGCUCACAAUUUCUUGUAUUAUAUAGUUUUGCAGUUCUGACUGAGUGCAAUCUUAAUCAUUA
Molecule: non-coding RNA, 898 nt
Organism: Paramuricea clavata
Lineage: Eukaryota; Metazoa; Cnidaria; Anthozoa; Malacalcyonacea; Plexauridae
Source: the annotation of a GenBank genome assembly